This 301-nucleotide ribosomal RNA is filed under the name uncultured bacterium. RNAcentral describes it as "partial 16S ribosomal RNA". It matches the Rfam family "Bacterial small subunit ribosomal RNA", at positions 509 to 809 of the family's 1533-position model. The record is from RNAcentral.
CAGCAGCCGCGGGAAUACGUAGGUGGCAAGCGUUGUCCGGAAUUAUUGGGCGUAAAGCGCGCGCAGGCGGAUCGGUCAGUCUGUCUUAAAAGUUCGGGGCUUAACCCCGUGAUGGGAUGGAAACUGCCAAUCUAGAGUAUCGGAGAGGAAAGUGGAAUUCCUAGUGUAGCGGUGAAAUGCGUAGAUAUUAGGAAGAACACCAGUGGCGAAGGCGACUUUCUGGACGAAAACUGACGCUGAGGCGCGAAAGCCAGGGGAGCGAACGGGAUUAGAUACCCGAGUAGUCCCUGUCUCUUAUACA